AGAUGUGGCUCAAUUUGGUAGAGCACUUGGUUUGGGACCAAGGGGUUGCAGGUUCAAAUCCUGUCAUCU
RNAcentral lists this transfer RNA (69 nucleotides) under bovine gut metagenome. It matches the Rfam family "tRNA". Rfam says of the family: Transfer RNA (tRNA) molecules are approximately 80 nucleotides in length. The record is from RNAcentral.